RNAcentral lists this ribosomal RNA (525 nucleotides) under uncultured bacterium. RNAcentral's name for it is "bacterial SSU rRNA". It matches the Rfam family "Bacterial small subunit ribosomal RNA", at positions 355 to 893 of the family's 1533-position model. The record is from RNAcentral.
CAGGGAAUUUUGCGCAAUGGGCGAAAGCCUGACGCAGCAACGCCGCGUGGGGGAAGAAGGCUCUCGGGUCGUAAACCCCUUUUGCCGGGGAAGAUAAUGACGGUACCCGGCGAAUAAGCCACGGCUAACUACGUGCCAGCAGCCGCGGUAAUACGUAGGUGGCUUUAAGCGUUGUCCGGAUUUAUUGGGCGUAAAGGGCGCGCAGGUGGCUCGUUAGGUCCGAGGUGAAAUCUCCCGGCUCAACUGGGAGGGGUCUUCGGAUACUGGCGGACUUGAGGAGAGCAGAGGUGAGCGGAAUUCUCGGUGUAGUGGUGAAAUGCGUAGAUAUCGAGAGGAACACCAGCGGCGAAGGCGGCUCACUGGGCUCCACCUGACACUGAGGCGCGAAAGCGUGGGGAGCAAACCGGAUUAGAUACCCGGGUAGUCCACGCUGUAAACGAUGGGCACUAGGUGUGGGGGGUAUUGACCCCCUCCGUGCCGAAGCUAACGCAAUAAGUGCCCCGCCUGGGGAGUACGGCCGCAAGG